Cyprinus carpio (common carp) is the source of this 581-nucleotide long non-coding RNA. RefSeq lists it as uncharacterized. The transcript is spliced from 3 exons. NCBI's taxonomy places the organism in Eukaryota, Metazoa, Chordata, Actinopteri, Cypriniformes, Cyprinidae. The record is from RefSeq and is a predicted model, not a curated record.
GAGAGUGUAGCUCACACAAUAAUCUGACACAGGACAGAACAAACGCCAGAAGCAGACAGAGUAAUCAGACAAGACAAGACACAGGUGUAAGCGCUAAGCAGCGAAAGCGCUGAUUGUGAUGAUCAACAGGUGAAGACAGAGCGCAAAUGAGAAAGUGUGUGCGCACUGGAGUGUGAGUGAGAUUAGUGUGUUAAUGAGUGUGGGAAUGCAUGUGUGUGUGCUGCUGUAAGAGAGAGAGAGAGCAGAGAAGCAACCCAGAUCCUAACAAUUUCAGGUGAACCCAGUGGCUUUUGACUAUUCGAGGGUCAAAUGGUUCUGAAUUCAUACUUUGUGGCUGGAUUUGGAGUUGUAUUACGACUUUAGUCUGGUGUCCUGUGAGCAGUCAUCUUUUGCACACUUGAAUUUUUUUCAAAGAUGUUUUGUUGGAAUCACGACACGUACAUAGAGGCAAAACAAGUGGAAAUGUCUCAGAGAAGAGGGACAACCCUCGUGUGUGCUAAUCUCAGAAAGUUGAUGGACUUUCAGUAUUUUAGACGGCCACUGGGACAAGACCACAGGAACCAGAUGAGUUCUCUGCACAA